This is an RNA transcript of Grus americana (Whooping crane), 4094 nucleotides long. It is a transcript of the gene named solute carrier family 16 member 10, with no coding region annotated. The transcript is spliced from 7 exons. The record is from RefSeq and is a predicted model, not a curated record. Lineage: Eukaryota; Metazoa; Chordata; Aves; Gruiformes; Gruidae.
ACACACGGCGUGCCGCAGGAUGCCCGCAGCUCCCGCAGCGAGGGGCUGAGGCGGGCGGGGGCCGAGAGGUCGCGAGGAGGAGGAAGGCGGGAGCGGCGCGCGGGCAGGGUCUCGUGCCCGCUCCGAGGCGCGGCUGAGGAUGGCGCCGGUGAGCGAGCAGUUGUCGCCGCAGGGCGCGGGGGACCCCACCGCCGCCCCCCUGCCCGACCCGCCGGCGGCGGCGGUGGAGACACGGCGGGAGAACGGCGGCGAGUGGUGUCCCGGGAGCGGCAGCCCGACCGCACAGAGCGGCGAGAACGGGGCCCAGCCUCAGGCGGCGACGGAGGCCCCCGGGAGCGCGAGCCGCCCCGGGAGCGAGGCGCCUGAGCCCCCCGAGGGCGGCUGGGGCUGGGUGGUGAUGCUGGCCGCCAUGUGGUGCAACGGCGCCGUCUUCGGCAUCCAGAACUCGUGCGGGGUCCUCUUCGUCUCCAUGCUCCAGGUCUUCGGCGGCAGCGAGGGCAAGCAGCUGGCGUUCAAAGCAGCAUGGGUGAACUCUCUUUCUAUGGGAAUGGUCUUCUUCUGUUCUCCAAUAGUCAGUAUCUUCACAGACCUGUUUGGUUGUCGAAAAGUAGCUGUUGUUGGAGCUGCAGUGGGAUUUGCUGGACUCCUUUCAAGUUCUUUUGUAAGCACCAUUGAACCUCUAUAUUUCACCUACGGAAUCUUAUUUGCCUGUGGCUGCUCAUUUGCAUACCAGCCAUCCUUGGUCAUUCUCGGGCACUAUUUCAAGAAACGCCUUGGACUGGUGAAUGGCAUCGUCACUGCAGGCAGCAGCUUGUUCACUGUGUCACUGCCCUUCCUCUUGCGAGUUUUGAUCGAUUCUGUUGGCUUAUACAACACCUUGCGGGUCCUGUGCAUCCUUAUGUUUGUUCUGUUCCUGGCUGGCUUUACGUACAAACCCCUUGUUUCCAAUGCCAAAGACAAAGAGGGAGGAAAGAAGGGAAAGUUCAAAUUUCCUCCUGAAAAAAAGAUUUGCAAUUUCUCUGUUUUCAAAGUUCUCAGUUACCGUAUCUGGGCUUUUGGGAUCCCAGCUGCACUUUUUGGAUACUUCGUGCCUUAUGUUCACUUGAUGAAGCAUGUAAAAGACAGAUUUGGUGACAGCGUGCCAGAAGAAGUGCUUCUGCUGUGCCUGGGCAUUACAUCAGGAGUUGGCAGAUUGAUCUUUGGCAGAGUUGCGGAUUACGUUCCUGGUGCAAAAAAAGUUUAUUUACAGGUGGCCUCAUUCUUCUUUAUUGGCCUGAUGUCUAUGAUGAUUCCACUGUGCCACGUCUUUGGAGGUCUCAUUGCCGUCUGUCUCUUCAUGGGCCUGUUUGAUGGGUGCUUCAUUUGCAUUAUGGCUCCCAUUGCCUUUGAGCUUGUUGGGGCUCAGGAUGUCUCCCAGGCCAUAGGAUUUCUACUAGGACUUAUGUCAAUACCGAUGACAGUUGGUCCACCCAUUGCAGGUUUGCUGCGCGAUCACCUCGGCACCUAUGAUGUAGCGUUCUACUUGGCUGGAGUCCCUCCCCUUAUUGGCGGAGCUAUAUUAUGUUUCAUCCCCUGGGUCCAUGAACGGCAGAAGUUGAAAGAAAGAGCAAAACCUGUUGAUGGAGAAACUACUGAGAAAAUGCUGGAAAAUGAAAGCACUUUGGUGUCAGACACUACAGAAAAGCCAGUCAAAGAAACGGAAUCUGGUGUUUGAUGCUUUCUUUUCCUGUACCAGCUUGACCUUCUACUGAAGCUAGAUUUCUACUUUUGGGCUGAAGAUACUACAUGAUACUAAAGAAGCUUUGAACUAUUGCUCAAAUAGCAAAACUGCUACAGAAUCUUUUAUACCAUUGACCUUUUUUUGAUGAGUCAUUGAGUUUGAUUUCAAGCCACAUUUUCAAGGUAUUUGAAGUUUUGUAGCAUUAGUGUGUAUGUGUGUAGUGAUUCUCUGUGUGAAGAGAAUAUUUUUCUAAUUCAUCAAACCUGUUUCUGGAAGUGCGAAAGCUGUUUUUGCUUCACUGACCCAGGAUUCUUCAAUAACUUUUAUGGUCCGGUGAAUGCAGGCACAUCCAUGGGUGUUUAUACUGGAAAAUGUAGUAGCUUUUAUGAAUGAUGUGUUUUUCAAAGUGUCUCAUGCUGUUUUUACAGUCUUUUACAAUUCUGUAUCAUGAACACAAACGUGAUUCCCUUAACUCUUGCUGAAAUCAUUAGAAAACUAAAUUAUUAAACUUCUGUUAUUUUCUCUAAAUACCCCAGCCUGCUCAGUUUGCUUAAACAUUCACCUGGUUUUGCAUUGAUUCACCUUUUCACAGUAGCCCAGACGAAGAACAUCAAGGAUGAAACUUUUGAUGGGCACAAGUUUUUGAAUAUGUGCAAACUGAGCUCCAAGUACAAACACAUUCAGAAGUAAAGCUGCUGGAUGAUAGAUUUUUUUAUUUGGUGAAGGCAAUACUAUUAAUGUGUAGUGCAUUUUAAUUUUUUUAGCUAAAGCUCAGAAUAGCUGAUAGUUUUUUGAAAUUGUUCUGACAGUAAUACUUUGGAGUAGUAUUGUGAAUUAGACUCAAAUUUCAAAUUACUCUGUACUUUUUUAUUCUUAAAAACAAGACAGCUUUAAAGAAUACAUUCUAAGUGCAAUAAUAAGUUGUUUUUAAUGUGGAAAAUAUGCGUAAGCUAUGAAAAUGACAUUCAACAAUUAAAGAUUUUUGCACUAAGUGAACAUGCAGGUUUAUUGUAGGUCUUUAUAGCUGUGUUCAAUUGUGUGUAUAUUUUAUUCAAAUAUAAAGAAAUGUCUUUGCAUGUCCAAUUUCUUGUUUAACAUACUAAAUAUGGCCCUAUUACUUCUGUAUCCUUAGGUAUUAUGCACUGUUUGUCAAGCAGGUAUUUCUGAAAAAUAUUUGAAAGCAUAAUAUUCUGAGAUGAAAACACUGCUUUUCAGUUUAUCAUAAAACACUUCCAAGUACAUUGUUUAUUUGUAGAUAUGGAUCAGCAAUGUGGUGGAAUACAUGAUCAUUCUUUAUUUCAGGUCCAUGUGAUACUAAUAAUUUUUGUUUUCUUGUGUAGAAGUGUCAUAGCAAGAGUAAACUAAAUGUGAUCUGAAGACAAAAUGCACAUUGAAGUGCAUUUUCUUAAUUAGUAACAAUACCUGUUCUUCACAUAAACCAGAGGAGCUGUAGCACUGGAAUGUGGGAGACAGCUGGGGAAGAGGUAACUAUCUGCAUUUGUGCGUCUCACUGUUGACAAGCACAGCACCAUUGCAGUUCCAGACAGCCAGUGAGUUUCUAGUCAUGUAAGCUUUGGCAUAUUUUCAGGAUGCCUUUUAGUCUUACAUAUAUUGUGUCAACAUCUUUUAAUGUUUCAGAACUGCGUAUGGUAAGAUUAGAGUGAUUUUUAUACUAAAAUGUGUGCUAAUGUUGGUAACACUGACAUGUUUAAGUAUCUUUAUUGACAUCCUAUUUUGUAUGUUGGUUUUGAUGUUAAAGGAUAUACAUUUUGUUAGCCUUAACUCCAUUAUUUGAAGUUCUGCUUUGUUAGAAGGGUAAGAAAUGAAUGUCUGUUUUUCAUGGUGCUAAAGUAACUGUGAUCAGUCUCAAAUUAUUCAGAAUAAAGAUGGUAAAGUGCCCUAUUUGUUACUGCAUGCAUAAUUUUUAGUCCUGUUCUAUAAAACUUGUCAUUUUUGAAAAUAAUUGUGUUAUAUUCUGAUAAUUACUGAAUCUCAAGUGCAGACUUUUAUACAAAAGCCUUUACAACUUCUUAGUUCUGUGUUCUGAUUUGCUCCUGAAUUAAUACAUGGUGCAAUCCAUUUCAUUCCGAUUGCGCUGACAAUCCAUUUUAAGACCAAUGGUUUGUAAACCUAAACUACUGACUUCCAAAGUUACAUACUUCUGAAAAAUUUAUCUACUCUAUUUUCCAUUUUUGAGGUUUAAUAUCAAACUUAGAGAACAGUUGCAUUCACAAAGGGCAGAAUUAAAAUUGAGGGAGGGAGGAAAACCUAUGGUAGAACAAACUUCAGUGGCAUUUUAAAAGCAUUCUCUAUUUCUUUGCUUCAUGAACUGCCAGUGUAAUUCAGUGGACCUUUAAUCAUUUACUGGCCUACU